AACGAACGCUGGCGGCAGGCCUAACACAUGCAAGUCGAGCGGACCCUUCGGGGUUAGCGGCGGACGGGUGAGUAACGCGUGGGAAUAUGCCCUUCUCUACGGAAUAGUCCUGGGAAACUGGGGGUAAUACCGUAUACGCCCUUUGGGGGAAAGAUUUAUCGGGGAAGGAUUAGCCCGCGUUGGAUUAGGUAGUUGGUGGGGUAAUGGCCUACCAAGCCGACGAUCCAUAGCUGGUUUGAGAGGAUGAUCAGCCACACUGGGGCUGAGACACGGCCCAGACUCCUACGGAAGGCAGCAGUGGGGAAUCUUAGACAAUGGGGGCAACCCUGAUCUAGCCAUGCCGGGUGAGUGAUGAAGGCCUUAGGGUUGUAAAGCUCUUUGAGCUGGGAAGAUAAUGACGGUACCAGCAGAAGAAGCCCCGGCUAACUCCGUG
Molecule: ribosomal RNA, 433 nt
Filed under: uncultured bacterium
Lineage: Bacteria
Description: partial 16S ribosomal RNA
Rfam family: Bacterial small subunit ribosomal RNA
Source: RNAcentral